This 775-nucleotide ribosomal RNA is filed under the name uncultured Glomus. Its description in RNAcentral is "SSU rRNA". It matches the Rfam family "Eukaryotic small subunit ribosomal RNA", at positions 338 to 1114 of the family's 1831-position model. The record is from RNAcentral. Lineage: Eukaryota; Fungi; Glomeromycota; Glomeromycetes; Glomerales; Glomeraceae.
GGCCUACCAUGGUGGUAACGGGUAACGGGGUGUUAGGGCACGACACCGGAGAGGGAGCCUGAGAAACGGCUACCACAUCCAAGGAUGGCAGCAGGCGCGCAAAUUACCCAAUCCCGACACGGGGAGGUAGUGACAAUAAAUAACAAUACGGGGUCCUUUCGGGUUUCGUAAUUGGAAUGAGUACAAUUUAAAUCUCUUAACGAGGAACAAUUGGAGGGCAAGUCUGGUGCCAGCAGCCGCGGUAAUUCCAGCUCCAAUAGCGUAUAUUAAAGUUGUUGCAGUUAAAAAGCUCGUAGUUGAAUUUCGGGAUCAGUACGCCGGUCGUGCCUUCGGUAUGCACUGGUGUCACUGGUUUCUCCCUUCUGAAGAACCAUCAUGCCAUUCAGUUGGUGUGGCGGGGAAUCAGGACUGUUACUUUGAAAAAAUUAGAGUGUUUAAAGCAGGCUCGCGCUUGAAUACAUUAGCAUGGAAUAAUGAAAUAGGACGUUUGACCCUAUUUUGUUGGUUUCUAGGAUCGACGUAAUGAUUAAUAGGGAUAGUUGGGGGCAUUAGUAUUCAAUUGUCAGAGGUGAAAUUCUUGGAUUUAUUGAAGACUAACUACUGCGAAAGCAUUUGCCAAGGAUGUUUUCAUUAAUCAAGAACGAAAGUUAGGGGAUCGAAGACGAUCAGAUACCGUCGUAGUCUUAACCAUAAACUAUGCCGACUAGGGAUCGGAUGAUGUUAAUUUUUUAAUGACUCAUUCGGCGCCUUACGGGAAACCAAAGUGUUUGGGUUC